AUUUGGAUGGCAGGAGCUCAGAAGCCAGGCAAACAGAUUGGGUAAUGGAUAGGAGACAAGAGCAGCUGACCAGUGGGAAAGCCUCUUAUCAACUUUUUUCUACAGGGGAGCCGUGUGAAAUGGAGACAGCCACCCUGGGGAGUGGUGGAGGCUGUUCUUCUUACUGAAGAACAAGUAAGGCAUCUCCCUGUGGAGGCGGGGGAAGUGCUCAGAGUGCAGGAUGUUAUGGGCUCACCACUGGAACAAGUGACAAUGAGUUUAACCAGUUAUCACAAAGUCUUCCAAAACCAGCCACUGAACGGAGGGUCUCCACAACUUGGGAAGGAGAAGAAACAGGUUAAGAGACAAAGACAUAAGUGCCUCUCUUAGACCACAACUCUGUCUUGUGCUUAUUACCUGCAAAGAAAUCCUUCCUCCUUAGUUCCAGUUCUAUUUAAGUUAACUAGACAUCAAAACCUUUCCCUUUGAUAGUUUGUGAAUAUUUUAAGAGAACAUCUGUUGACACUUAAAGUGAAUAAAAACAAAAGGAGCAGCCCAGUCGUGAAAAGCUAUAAAAACAUAAUUGACAGUUGAGCUCAUAUGUCACCAAGGAAGCUGAAAUUUACUGGACUCAUGUUUAGAUAGUAGAAACACACUAACGGUAAUAGUAGUAGUUGUUGCUGUAAUAAUAAUAGCAAUAAUAAAAACAUGUCAGUAACUGCUGAACAUCUCUGCUAUGGUUCAGAGAUUUGUGGCUGGGCAGGUCUGGAUGGGGUCAGUUAUCUGGACUUGCCUGUGCUUUUCUAGCUUUCUUUCCACUGUGUUAUAAUCCACCUUCAGCACAGGAUCUGGUAUAGUUUACACUACUGUGCUAAAAAAAUGUGAUUGUCAAUGUGAUGCUUGUUUUAGGGGAGGUGACCAAGAGCAGAUGCUGACACCAGGGAAAGACCAGAGGGAACUGGAGGGGUGAUGGCCAAAAGGCCCAAUUCCCUGGACUGCUGAUUUUGGAGAACCUUGCCCGGUCUUUGGAAUAGGCCAAGUUGAACAAGUCAGACCUGAAACUUCACGAACUCUCCAAGUUGAGUUCUUGGGCCGAGCAUUUAUAUUUAAUUGUGUGUUGUCACCAGUCAUCUGCUGCUCCAAGAAUACAGAACACUGCUUCCAAAGCAGAUACCUUUUUUGGAGCUGCACUUCCCGAAUCUUGACAACUAGAGUCAAAACGGCGCCUGGCAGCAUAGCUGACAACUGCACACAGGCGAGUGGUUGGAAUCACUCGACUCAAAGAUCUGGAAAGCUUCCACCUCCCUGCAUGCCUCUGUGGAAAGAGACAGGUUGGUGUGGCUGCCACAAUGAACCCACACACCAUUUGCAUCUGGCUGGACGUCCACCGGGUAGAGACGACAGCUCUGCUUAUGAAUCCCAACCUUCUCCUUUCUGCAUAUCCUAAGCUAUCCCCAAGUCCCUUGAAGCCCACCAGAAGAUGCCCACACAAAGGCCUUUCUGCCCACAAGAGCUCUUCCCUGUUGCUUUGCCUUCCUUUCUUUUUCACAUCUUGAUAAACCCUUCUCAUCUCAUAUUUAUCAAAUGCAAUCACAAAGGGACCACUUAAUUAACAGGCUGCCGUUAUGUGGAAGAUGAGUUGGAAGCUUAAAACCAUUUAAGAAACCUCACACUGUUCCAGACGACAAAAACAGUGGGACACGCCAUCUGGGAGGGAGCUUCCGCCGAAGUAGGUGCCAGCAUUUCCAUGAUUAAGAACCUAAUAUACCAUCAUAGUACGUGGUGCCAUUUGGUUAGAAGAGACAGCCUUGUGAGCGAGUGUUCUUAGGUCUGGCUUGCUUGGAUGCAGCCAAAUCACUCAGCACCAAAAUAUUUGCUCUGGCAAGCGGCCUCAGUUUAUACGGCUCUUGUGUCUAUUCUACAAUAGACUCUAUGUGGGCUGGGUACAUUGAAAGAGCUCAAUUAAAACUUGCUGAGGCAUUUGUUGGCUGUGACUGGCAUAUGUUGAUGGUAUGGUCGGUCUGUGCUAUGAAGAUUUACCUGACUGCAGGUAAAUCAACAGUUUGUUACGAGGCUAAUUGAUUUUUGACAUGAGGACCAGAAAAUUGUUUCAGAACAAAACACCAGACUUGGCCCUCUACCAUCCUUAAUCCUAUCUCCACUACUUUAUCCUUUAACUUAUUCUAUUGAGCACUGACUAUGUGCCAGGUAUUUCAUCCUCCAUCCAUAGGAGGAUGAAAUAAUAAAGAUUAUAUAGUAACUUCCUGGGAGAACUUA
Long non-coding RNA from Bos indicus x Bos taurus (hybrid cattle), 2256 nucleotides. NCBI's taxonomy places the organism in Eukaryota, Metazoa, Chordata, Mammalia, Artiodactyla, Bovidae. The record is from Ensembl.